GUGAUAGAGCGGCUUUGGUGGGCACCUGGCAUCCAGCCAGGGUCAACCCGCCACACAUGAGCACCUGGACAAGUCUCACUAGAGCUCUCUGUUGAAGAGUCAGGCACCAAUUCCUCAAUGUAUUUACAGAACGGCUCUGUUCCUCUGCCUGCACCCAUCCUUGUCUCUUUGGCUCCACCAUCAUGUUAUCAUCAAGCUCUGUACCCCAGAGGACAUCUUCCAUGGAUUAUCCUUUCUCUGCCUUAUGUACAGAUGCCAGGAAAGGGGGACGACCACUGAUGACCAUCGUGGGACAGCAUCCGACACCUUCCUUCUGUUAAUGCUAACUGCACCAUAGGUGUGCUGUACCAAAUGGAAGCUGU
Long non-coding RNA from Gymnogyps californianus (California condor), 362 nucleotides. RefSeq lists it as uncharacterized. The transcript is spliced from 3 exons. NCBI's taxonomy places the organism in Eukaryota, Metazoa, Chordata, Aves, Accipitriformes, Cathartidae. The record is from RefSeq and is a predicted model, not a curated record.